CCUGCUGCGGGACAGCACCCCGGGGCUGGGGGACACGGUGGGGGGCUGCCCUGCUCCCCCAGGCCAGCGAGCGCGCAGGCACCAGGACCCUGCGGAUGCCCCGCGCCGCCACACGCAGCCUCGCGGCCCUUUGUCCGUGACGCGGCGUGACGAGGCGUGACGCGCUGCGGUGCGACGUCUCCCCACACGGCCACCCCCUUCCCCUUCCGCCACCACCAGCCAUGCCCCCCGAGCCCCGCCAGAGGGUCCGGCCCCCCGCCACCGCCAGCCCCCCCGGUGUCCCGGCACCCUCCGGUCCGUCCUGCCAAGGAGCCCCGUGCGGGCGCACACGCAUACGACACGCGUGCUCCUGUCCCGGUCUCACACGCGUGUGCAGUGCAGCGAUGCUGGCAGGCUGCCUGCCACGCAUGUGCGGGGGUCUCAGCUGUCCCCAGGUAUCCCCCCACCCCCGCUGUGCCCCAGCCCCCGCUGCCAUCCCACUGCCCGUGAGCUGGGACACCAGGACCAGCCCACCCAGGGGACGCCCCACCGGACCCCCUCUCCGGGCAGCCCCAGUGCUCCCCAUGUGCUGGAGGGGCACCAGGACCAACCCACCAACCCAGGGGACACCCCACCGGACCCCCCCUCCGGGCAGCCCCAGUGCUCCCCGUAUGCUGGAGGGGCACCAGGAUGAGCCCACCCAGGGGACACCCCACCGGACCCCUUGCUCUGGGCAGCCCCAGUGCUCCCCGUGUGCUCAGGGGGCUGGGUGCCACAGGGCCUUGGUGGCAGGAGGUGGCCCCGGUGGGGUGCCUCGCGUGGGACCCCCCCCAGGCGGACCCCCCUGUAACACCCCUACCAGGCCAGCCCCGCUGCCUCCGUCAAUCAGCACUGGCCCCGCUCCCGGAGGUGGCGAAGAUGGAGGCCCCCAAGCUGCUCCGCGCCUGGGUGCUGGCAGUCAUGGCCCUGGGGGAGUCCCAGGCCACCCUCCCCAACCACCACGUCCUCCCCAACCACCGCGUCUCCUCCGAGACCGGAGCCAUCUUCGUCCAUGAGCUGGAGCGGGAGCUGUUCCAGGAUGCCUUCCUCACUGGGCACGAGGAUGAUGGCGCUGCCCCCAUCACCUUCCAAGCCCACCUCCAGGACCACCCUGACCUGCCGCGGUGGCUGCGGUACAUCCAGCGCGACCCCCACCAGCCGGGCUACCUCUAUGGCUGUCCCAUGGCCACGGAGGUGGGCACCCACACCAUCGAGGUGCUGGCAUACAACCGGCACACCUACGAGACAGCGGCACAGCACCUCGUCAUCACCAUCUUUCCUGCUCCAGGUGGGGAGCCGCCGUACCAGGGCGAGUUCCUGGUGGGGAACAGGAACGUGGAGGAGCUGCUGCCAGUGGCCAUGCGGGACAUCUUCCUCCAGGCCACGGCCGGCGUCUGGGAGCGGGAUGACCUCCAUGUCAUCAAUGUCACCUCCACGCUGGACCGGGGUGGCCGCGUGCCCCUGCCCAUCGAGGGGCGCAAGGAGGGGGUGUACGUGAAGGUGGGCUCCCAUGGUGCCUUCUCAUCGUGCCUGGCAGCGGCCACCUCACCACAGAGCCGGUUCCGCUGCAGCCUGGGCCAGCAGCCCCUCGCCUCCUGCUACGACACCUUCGCCCCCCACUUCACCAUCCGCUGGUGCAACCUCACCUUGCUGCAGGUCUGGCCCAGCCCAACAGCGCUGGGGCCCGUGUGGGGUUCUGGGGUGCUGGAGGAGGGUGGGGAUUUCCAGCCCCCCACCGAGGUGCCCCCCCAGGACCUGCUGCCUGGGUACCUGGUGACGCUGCUGGUGCCGCUGGCGGUGGCCGCACUGCUCUGCCUGCUCCUGGGCCACCUCAUGUGCUGCCGCAGGGAGGGAGUGCAAAAACGGGACUUGGAGACGUCUGACAUCCAGCUGGUCCACCACACCACCAUCCACGGUGACACGGAGGAGCUGAGGCACAUGGCUCGCAGCCGGGAUGUCCCACGGCCCCUUUCCACCCUUCCCAUGUUCAACAUCCGCACAGGUCAACGCAUCAACCCCAUGCCUGGUCCCCCGGAUGGUGCCUGUGUCCCCCUCCUCCGCAGUGAGCCAGGCUGGUGGGUGACACCAGGAUGAUGGCAGGGUGGUGGGUGACACCAGGAUGAUGGCAGGGUGGGAGGGCAAUCCCAGGGGUGGGUAUGAGCAAAGGGGUGUCAUGAUGCUUUUGGGGGCACUUUGCAGGGGUCAAAAGCCCAGCAGCAGGCAGAACCCAGCCGAGUCAAGGAUCUGCCUGCCCAGCAGGGCCCUGCCUGCCACCCAGUUAUUGCCUGGAGCAUUUUGGGGGGAUUAUCAGCACCUGGGGGGGUCAUCAGGAUCCACCCUGCAUCAGUGGGACAACACAGAACACAUGCAUCCCAGCCCCUUCCUCUCCAGCCUCCCCUGCCCCGCUUGGCCUGAUGAAAUCCUUAAAUAAGAGCUGUAGAAGCACUAGAGCUCUUCUGCUUUUUGGCUGGGGGAGGAGGGAGUACACUGUUUUCUUUCUGUUUUCCAGGUGAGGGGGAGGCUGUGUUGGUUUUGUCUUCCCAGGGGUGACACCACCCCCCAAGGUCCCUGCUGUGGGAUGGGGGCUGUGGGGUGGGUUUUGGCUGAUAAAGUGGCUGUUUAGUG
Molecule: RNA transcript, 2643 nt
Organism: Falco peregrinus (peregrine falcon)
Lineage: Eukaryota; Metazoa; Chordata; Aves; Falconiformes; Falconidae
Gene: SGCA
Gene name: sarcoglycan alpha
Exons: 10
Source: RefSeq, a predicted model, not a curated record